This 264-nucleotide ribosomal RNA is filed under the name uncultured archaeon. RNAcentral's name for it is "partial 16S ribosomal RNA". It matches the Rfam family "Archaeal small subunit ribosomal RNA", at positions 719 to 982 of the family's 1478-position model. The record is from RNAcentral.
ACACGACUACAUUAGAUACCCGUGUAGUCCUAGCCGUAAACGAUACUCGCUAGGUGUCGGCCACGGUGCGACCGUUGUCGGUGCCGUAGGGAAGCCGUGAAGCGAGCCACCUGGGAAGUACGGCCGCAAGGCUGAAACUUAAAGGAAUUGGCGGGGAGCACCACAAGAGGUGGAGGCUGCGGUUCAAUUGGACUCAAUGCCGGAAAACUCAUCGGGAGCGACAGCAGUAUGAUUGCCAGGUUGAUGACCUUGCUUGACAAGCUG